GACGGAGGGUGCAAGCGUUGUUCGGAAUUACUGGGCGUAAAGCGCGUGUAGGCGGCUUGCUAAGUCUGAUGUGAAAGCCCGGGGCUCACCCCCGGAAGUGCAUUGGAAACUGGCGAGCUCGAGUCCCGGAGAGGAGGGUGGAAUUCCUGGUGUAGCGGUGAAAUGCGUAGAUAUCAGGAGGAACACCGGUGGCGAAGGCGGCCCUCUGGACGGUGACUGACGCUGAUACGCGAAAGCGUGGGGAGCAAACAGG
Molecule: ribosomal RNA, 253 nt
Filed under: uncultured bacterium
Lineage: Bacteria
Description: partial 16S ribosomal RNA
Rfam family: Bacterial small subunit ribosomal RNA
Source: RNAcentral